CAGCAGCCGCGGUAACACGUAGGGUGCGAGCGUUAAUCGGAAUUACUGGGCGUAAAGCGUGCGCAGGCGGUUGUGUAAGACAGGUGUGAAAUCCCCGGGCUUAACCUGGGAACUGCGCUUGUGACUGCACAGCUAGAGUAUGGCAGAGGGGGGUGGAAUUCCACGUGUAGCAGUGAAAUGCGUAGAGAUGUGGAGGAACACCGAUGGCGAAGGCAGCCCCCUGGGCCAAUACUGACGCUCAUGCACGAAAGCGUGGGGAGCAAACAGGAUUAGAUACCCCUGUAGUCCCUGUCUCUUAUAA
This 301-nucleotide ribosomal RNA is filed under the name uncultured bacterium. RNAcentral describes it as "partial 16S ribosomal RNA". It matches the Rfam family "Bacterial small subunit ribosomal RNA", at positions 509 to 809 of the family's 1533-position model. The record is from RNAcentral.